GACGAACGCUGGCGGCGUGCUUAACACAUGCAAGUCGAGCGGUAAGGCCCUUUCGGGGGUACACGAGCGGCGAACGGGUGAGUAACACGUGGGUGACCUGCCCUCAGCUCUGGGAUAAGCCUGGGAAACCGGGUCUAAUACCGGAUAUGACUCCAUGACGCAUGUUGUGGGGUGGAAAGCCUUGUGCGGCUGAGGAUGGGCCCGCGGCCUAUCAGCUUGCUGGUGGGGUGANGGCCUACCAAGGCGACGACGGGUAGCCGGCCUGAGAGGGCGACCGGCCACACUGGGACUGAGACACGGCCCAGACUCCUACGGGAGGCAGCAGUGGGGAAUCUUGCGCAAUGGGCG
RNAcentral lists this ribosomal RNA (348 nucleotides) under uncultured bacterium. RNAcentral's name for it is "bacterial SSU rRNA". It matches the Rfam family "Bacterial small subunit ribosomal RNA", at positions 28 to 377 of the family's 1533-position model. The record is from RNAcentral.